UACGUAGGGACCAAGCGUUGUCCGGAAUCAUUGGGCGUAAAGAGCGUGUAGGCGGUUUGUCGCGUCUGCUGUGAAAAUCCGGGGCUCAACCCCGGACUUGCAGUGGGUACGGGCAGGCUAGAGUGUGGUAGGGGAGACUGGAAUUCCUGGUGUAGCGGUGGAAUGCGCAGAUAUCAGGAGGAACACCGAUGGCGAAGGCAGGUCUCUGGGCCACUACUGACGCUGAGAAGCGAAAGCAUGGGGAGCGAACAGG
This 253-nucleotide ribosomal RNA is filed under the name uncultured bacterium. RNAcentral describes it as "partial 16S ribosomal RNA". It matches the Rfam family "Bacterial small subunit ribosomal RNA", at positions 524 to 776 of the family's 1533-position model. The record is from RNAcentral.